Molecule: ribosomal RNA, 222 nt
Filed under: uncultured bacterium
Lineage: Bacteria
Description: partial 16S ribosomal RNA
Rfam family: Bacterial small subunit ribosomal RNA
Source: RNAcentral
ACAUAUCCAACCUGCCGUCUACUCUUGGCCAGCCUUCUGAAAGGAAGAUUAAUCCAGGAUGGCAUCAUGAGUUCACAUGUCCGCAUGAUUAAAGGUAUUUUCCGGUAGACGAUGGGGAUGCGUUCCAUUAGAUAGUAGGCGGGGUAACGGCCCACCUAGUCAACGAUGGAUAGGGGUUCUGAGAGGAAGGUCCCCCACAUUGGAACUGAGACACGGUCCCAA